GGGGGGGGUUGUGUUUAUUAUUGCCCUCAUCUUUGUGGUCAGGCGAUUUUGCAAGCAGAACCCUGAAGCUCCGUACAGGGCGCUGAAUGAUGAAGAAGAAAUUACACCACAGCCACAUUCAUACAGAUAUGAUGAUGCUGCAAAUCCAAAUAACUAAUAGAAUAUUUCUUCUGCUAUUUUAAUAACAUUCACAAUAGAUAUAUAUUAUGCUGCAAUAUGAAAAUAAUCAAAAAGAUAUGUUCCUUAUGCGAAGUUUGUGAGAGACUUUGGUUUAGCCUUCUGUUUUAAUUAGCAUGUAUGAACGAGUUAUAUAAUGUGAUAUAAUAUGCAACAGCACAUACAUGUAUCAGAGCUUUUGUUGUAUAAAGAUAGGAUGAUGAACACUUAAAUGUUUCUACUAUUUUUAUGAAUUAUAUAUUUGUCUGAAUUUUUUUCUAUUUUUUACAUUGACAAUGUGUGAUUCUGAAAAAAGCUUAUAAACAUAUUAUAUUACGUAAAAAUUAAUGCGGUGGUUUAGUGAUUAAUUUAUCACCGUGUAAUUCUUUAUUAUAUUAAUGUUGCAUUCUUUGUACAUUGUAUUUGUACUCUUUAAACGCAUUCCAACAAAUUGUAAAUACUCAAACUUUUAGCUUGUUAUUUUUACAUAUUUGCUAAUGAAAAUUAUAACUCUCCCUUCCCAUUAUUUCUAUACAAAAUGAUAAGUAAUUAAAAGCUACUUAUACGA
Molecule: long non-coding RNA, 724 nt
Organism: Ruditapes philippinarum (Manila clam)
Lineage: Eukaryota; Metazoa; Mollusca; Bivalvia; Venerida; Veneridae
Exons: 2
Source: RefSeq, a predicted model, not a curated record